GACGAAGGAUGCAAGCGUUAUCCGGAUUCAUUGGGUUUAAAGGGUGCGUAGGCGGACUUGUAAGUCAGUGGUGAAAUCUCUUUGCUUAACAAAGAAACUGCCAUUGAUACUGCAGGUCUAGAGUAUAGAUGACGUUGGCGGAAUAUGACAUGUAGUGGUGAAAUACUUAGAUAUGUCAUAGAACACCGAUUGCGAAGGCAGCUAACGAAACUAUAACUGACGCUGAGGCACGAAAGUGAGGGGAUCAAACAGG
This 253-nucleotide ribosomal RNA is filed under the name uncultured bacterium. Its description in RNAcentral is "partial 16S ribosomal RNA". It matches the Rfam family "Bacterial small subunit ribosomal RNA", at positions 524 to 776 of the family's 1533-position model. The record is from RNAcentral.